RNAcentral lists this ribosomal RNA (460 nucleotides) under uncultured bacterium. Its description in RNAcentral is "partial 16S ribosomal RNA". It matches the Rfam family "Bacterial small subunit ribosomal RNA", at positions 338 to 795 of the family's 1533-position model. The record is from RNAcentral.
CCUACGGGUGGCAGCAGUGAGGAAUCUUGGUCAAUGGCCGUAAGGCUGAACCAGCCAAGCCGCGUGAAGGAAGAAGGAGCUAUGGUUUGUAAACUUCUUUUAUAGGGGAAUAAAUUUAUCCACGAGUGCAUAUCUGCAUGUACUCUAUGAAUAAUCAUCGGCUACCUCCGUGCCAGCAGCCGCGGUAAUACGGAGGAUGUGAGCGUUAUCCGGAUUGAUUGGGUUUAAGGGGUGCGUAGGUUGUUUUUUAAGUCAGCGGUGAAAGUUGGGGGCGCAACCAUAAAUUUGCCGUUGAAACUGGCAGACGUGAGUGUGUGUGAGGUAGGCGGAAUGCGCGGUGUAGCGGUGAAAUGCAUAGAUAUCGCGCAGAACUCCGAUUGCGAAGGCAGCUUACUAGGCCAUAACUGACACUGAAGCACGAAAGCGUGGGGAUCAAACAGGAUUAGAUACCCUGGUAGUC